This 374-nucleotide ribosomal RNA is filed under the name Schaalia hyovaginalis. RNAcentral's name for it is "bacterial SSU rRNA". It matches the Rfam family "Bacterial small subunit ribosomal RNA", at positions 53 to 408 of the family's 1533-position model. The record is from RNAcentral. Lineage: Bacteria; Bacillati; Actinomycetota; Actinomycetes; Actinomycetales; Actinomycetaceae.
ACAUGCAAGUCGGAACGCAUGAUGGAUACCGGAGCUUGCUCCACCCUUCAUCAUGAGUCGCGAACGGGUGAGUAACGCGUAGGUAACCUGCCUUUUAGCGGGGGAUAACUAUUGGAAACGAUAGCUAAUACCGCAUAAGAUUUAGAGACUCCUGUCUCUGGAUUAAAAGAUACAAUUGUAUCGCUAAGAGAUGGACCUGCGUUGUAUUAGCUAGUAGGUGGGGUAAAGGCCCACCUAGGCGACGAUACAUAGCCGACCUGAGAGGGUGAUCGGCCACACUGGGACUGAGACACGGCCCAGACUCCUACGGGAGGCAGCAGUAGGGAAUCUUCGGCAAUGGGGGGAACCCUGACCGAGCAACGCCGCGUGAGUGA